This 864-nucleotide ribosomal RNA is filed under the name uncultured bacterium. RNAcentral's name for it is "bacterial SSU rRNA". It matches the Rfam family "Bacterial small subunit ribosomal RNA", at positions 10 to 870 of the family's 1533-position model. The record is from RNAcentral.
AGUUUGAUCCUGGCUCAGAUUGAACGCUGGCGGCAUGCCUUACACAUGCAAGUCGAACGGCAGCACGGACUUCGGUCUGGUGGCGAGUGGCGAACGGGUGAGUAAUACAUCGGAACGUGCCUAGUAGUGGGGGAUAACUACUCGAAAGAGUGGCUAAUACCGCAUGAGAUCUACGGAUGAAAGCAGGGGAUCGCAAGACCUUGUGCUACUAGAGCGGCCGAUGGCAGAUUAGGUAGUUGGUGGGAUAAAAGCUUACCAAGCCAACGAUCUGUAGCUGGUCUGAGAGGACGAUCAGCCACACUGGGACCGAGACACGGCCCAGACUCCUACGGGAGGCAGCAGUGGGGAAUUUUGGACAAUGGGCGAAAGCCUGAUCCAGCAAUGCCGCGUGCAGGAUGAAGGCCUUCGGGUUGUAAACUGCUUUUGUAUGGAACGAAAAGCUUCGGGUUAAUACCCUGGAGUCAUGACGGUACCGUAAGAAUAAGCACCGGCUAACUACGUGCCAGCAGCCGCGGUAAUACGUAGGGUGCAAGCGUUAAUCGGAAUUACUGGGCGUAAAGCGUGCGCAGGCGGUUUUGUAAGACAGAGGCGAAAUCCCCGGGCUCAACCUGGGAACUGCCUUUGUGACUGCAAGGCUAGAGUACGGCAGAGGGGGAUGGAAUUCCGCGUGUAGCAGUGAAAUGCGUAGAUAUGCGGAGGAACACCGAUGGCGAAGGCAAUCCCCUGGGCCUGUACUGACGCUCAUGCACGAAAGCGUGGGGAGCAAACAGGAUUAGAUACCCUGGUAGUCCACGCCCUAAACGAUGUCAACUGGUUGUUGGGUCUUCAUUGACUCAGUAACGAAGCUAACGCGUGAAGUUGACC